Molecule: transfer RNA, 85 nt
Filed under: Eubacteriaceae bacterium
Lineage: Bacteria; Bacillati; Bacillota; Clostridia; Eubacteriales; Eubacteriaceae
Description: tRNA-Leu
Rfam family: tRNA
About the family: Transfer RNA (tRNA) molecules are approximately 80 nucleotides in length. Their secondary structure includes four short double-helical elements and three loops (D, anti-codon, and T loops).
Source: RNAcentral
GCGGAUGUGGCGGAAUUGGCAGACGCGCUAGACUUAGGAUCUAGUAUCUUACGAUGUGGGGGUUCGACUCCCUUCAUCCGCACCA